RNAcentral lists this ribosomal RNA (300 nucleotides) under Triticum aestivum (bread wheat). RNAcentral's name for it is "partial small subunit ribosomal RNA". The record is from RNAcentral. Lineage: Eukaryota; Viridiplantae; Streptophyta; Magnoliopsida; Poales; Poaceae.
AUGGUGGUCAGCAAAAUCUACAAGAACAACUGUCCUAGGUGUAGAAUAACAAGGGGUGUGUGCUACGAAAAAUUAAGAGAGGGGGACAAUGAAAAGGAGUUGCCUCGACAGUACAUUGCUAGACGACCUCAAUGCGGUGCUCAGGGUGGCAAACGAAGAGGCGCCCAAUGUCCUUGUGGUGGAGAUAGGGGAGGACUUGGGCGUCCUGACGGUGGAGAACAGGGACGCGCCGGUGUCCUCGUGGUGGAGAAUGAGGAGACGACCUGCAUCCUUGCAGUGGGGAACGGGAAAGCAUAUUAG